This 113-nucleotide ribosomal RNA is filed under the name Geijera salicifolia. RNAcentral describes it as "partial 26S ribosomal RNA". It matches the Rfam family "Eukaryotic large subunit ribosomal RNA", at positions 1 to 112 of the family's 3401-position model. The record is from RNAcentral. RNAcentral also lists the same sequence under 2 other names. Lineage: Eukaryota; Viridiplantae; Streptophyta; Magnoliopsida; Sapindales; Rutaceae.
GCGACCCCAGGUCAGGCGGGAACACCCGCUGAGUUUAAGCAUAUCAAUAAGCGGAGGAAAAGAAACUUACCAGGAUUCCCUUAGUAACGGCGAGCGAACCGGGAAGAGCCCAG